RNAcentral lists this transfer RNA (88 nucleotides) under Caudoviricetes sp. Its description in RNAcentral is "tRNA-Ser". It matches the Rfam family "tRNA". From Rfam's summary of the family: Transfer RNA (tRNA) molecules are approximately 80 nucleotides in length. Their secondary structure includes four short double-helical elements and three loops (D, anti-codon, and T loops). The record is from RNAcentral. Lineage: Duplodnaviria; Heunggongvirae; Uroviricota; Caudoviricetes.
GGGUGUGUAGCUCAGAAAAGGUAGAGCAAGCGAGCGGUCGAAUGCCGAAGCCAAGUCGCCGGUUCGAUUCCGGCCACACCAAGCCCGA